GGCAUGCUUAACACAUGCAAGUCGCACGAAGGUUUCGGCCUUAGUGGCGGACGGGUGAGUAACACGUAGGUAUCUAUCCAUGGGUGGGGGAUAACACUGGGAAACUGGUGCUAAUACCGCAUGACACCUGAGGGUCAAAGGCGUAAGUCGCCUGUGGAGGAGCCUGCGUUUGAUUAGCUAGUUGGUGGGGUAAAGGCCUACCAAGGCGAUGAUCAAUAGCUGGUUUGAGAGGAUGAUCAGCCACACUGGGACUGAGACACGGCCCAGACUCCUACGGGAGGCAGCAGUGGGGAAUAUUGGACAAUGGGGGCAACCCUGAUCCAGCAAUGCCGCGUGUGUGAAGAAGGUCUUCGGAUUGUAAAGCACUUUCGACGGGGACGAUGAUGACGGUACCCGUAGAAGAAGCCCCGGCUAACUUCGUGCCAGCAGCCGCGGUAAUACGAAGGGGGCUAGCGUUGCUCGGAAUGACUGGGCGUAAAGGGCGUGUAGGCGGUUUGUACAGUCAGAUGUGAAAUCCCCGGGCUUAACCUGGGAGCUGCAUUUGAUACGUGCAGACUAGAGUGUGAGAGAGGGUUGUGGAAUUCCCAGUGUAGAGGUGAAAUUCGUAGAUAUU
Molecule: ribosomal RNA, 613 nt
Filed under: uncultured bacterium
Lineage: Bacteria
Description: bacterial SSU rRNA
Rfam family: Bacterial small subunit ribosomal RNA
Source: RNAcentral